This 464-nucleotide ribosomal RNA is filed under the name uncultured bacterium. RNAcentral's name for it is "partial 16S ribosomal RNA". It matches the Rfam family "Bacterial small subunit ribosomal RNA", at positions 28 to 507 of the family's 1533-position model. The record is from RNAcentral.
GACGAACGCUGGCGGCGUGCUUAACACAUGCAAGUCGAACGGAAUGGCCCUGCUUGCAGGGUACUCGAGUGGCGAACGGGUGAGUAACACGUGGGUGAUCUGCCCUGCACUUCGGGAUAAGCCUGGGAAACUGGGUCUAAUACCGGAUAGGAGCCAUCUUUAGUGUGAUGGUUGGAAAGUUUUUUCGGUGUAGGAUGAGCUCGCGGCCUAUCAGCUUGUUGGUGGGGUAAUGGCCUACCAAGGCGGCGACGGGUAGCCGGCCUGAGAGGGUGGACGGCCACAUUGGGACUGAGAUACGGCCCAGACUCCUACGGGAGGCAGCAGUGGGGAAUAUUGCACAAUGGGCGCAAGCCUGAUGCAGCGACGCCGCGUGGGGGAUGACGGCCUUCGGGUUGUAAACUCCUUUCGCUAGGGACGAAGCUUUUGUGACGGUACCUAGAUAAGAAGCACCGGCUAACUACGUG